UACGGAGGGUGCGAGCGGUAUUCGGAAUUACUGGGCGUAAAGCGCGUGUAGGCGGCAGGGCAAGUCUGGUGUGAAAGCCCGGGGCUCAACCCCGGAAGUGCAUUGGAAACUGCUCUGCUUGAGUACCGGAGAGGAAGGGGGAAUUCCCGGUGUAGCGGUGAAAUGCGUAGAUAUCGGGAGGAAUACCAGUGGCGAAGGCGGCUUCCUGGCCUAUUCCUGACACUGAGGCGCGAAAGCGUGGGGAGCAAACAGG
RNAcentral lists this ribosomal RNA (253 nucleotides) under uncultured microorganism. Its description in RNAcentral is "partial 16S ribosomal RNA". It matches the Rfam family "Bacterial small subunit ribosomal RNA", at positions 524 to 776 of the family's 1533-position model. The record is from RNAcentral.